AGACCGAAGUGGAAACGUUAAUGGAAAGAUGCUUGGAAUGGAAAAAAAUAGUCUUGUACAGUUCAAGCUAUGUGCAAGCUUAUCCAGUGAAGGAUAAUACCCUAUGAAUCCGAAGAAAGGAAUUCUCAUCCACAAAGCUCAUUCCAGGAUAAUCCUUACAUCUUUGGGGUGACAAAAAAUUUUGUGACAAUAUUGUAACAGGUGUCACACUCAGUCAAAGCAUCUAUGGAGAUUGCAAUCUUGCGUCUUUAUUCACCAUCUUUAUCACUGAUAUUUUCAGGAUUCAAAACUCCUGUUCUCUCUAUGUAUAGGGCAGAUUGCACCAAAACGUUUAUUUCAGCAUGACCCUGAACCAGAAUGAAAGCAUUCACAUUAUUAGCAACCUUCACAUUGUAUUAGUCAAGAAAGGCCUUGCAAAAAAGAUUUUUCAUGUGCUAUAAAAUGACUCAUAGGGUAAUAUAGACAAGCAGUUUCCAAGUGUGUUCUUGCUGCUGGGAAAAAUAACCACAACUUAUUAAAAUUAUUGGAUUCUUA
This is a non-coding RNA of Pantherophis guttatus, 534 nucleotides long. Lineage: Eukaryota; Metazoa; Chordata; Lepidosauria; Squamata; Colubridae. The record is from RefSeq and is a predicted model, not a curated record.